GGAGGAAUAUUGGGCAAUGGGCGAAAGCCUGACCCAGCAACGCCGCGUGGAGGAUGAAGGCCUUCGGGUUGUAAACUCCUUUUCUGCGGGAAGAGAAAGGACGGUACCGCAGGAAUAAGCACCGGCUGACUACGUGCCAGCAGCCGCGGUAAAACGUAGGGUGCGAGCGUUAUCCGGAUUUAUUGGGCGUAAAGCGCACGCAGGCGGUUCUGCAAGUCGGACGUGAAAGCCCCUGGCUCAACUGGGGGAGGUCGUUCGAAACUGUGGGACUUGAGGUCGGGAGAGGGGCGUGGAAUUCCCGGUGUAGUGGUGGAAUGCGUAGAUAUCGGGAGGAACACCAGUGGCGAAAGCGGCGCCCUGGCCCGCACCUGACGCUGAGGUGCGAAAGCGUGGGGAGCGAACGGG
This 405-nucleotide ribosomal RNA is filed under the name uncultured bacterium. RNAcentral describes it as "bacterial SSU rRNA". It matches the Rfam family "Bacterial small subunit ribosomal RNA", at positions 355 to 776 of the family's 1533-position model. The record is from RNAcentral.